GAACUGCUGCUAGAUCAUA
RNAcentral lists this ribosomal RNA (19 nucleotides) under Globodera tabacum. RNAcentral describes it as "partial 18S ribosomal RNA". Lineage: Eukaryota; Metazoa; Nematoda; Chromadorea; Rhabditida; Heteroderidae. The record is from RNAcentral.